GGCCGGCUGGCUCAAUUGGUAGAGCGUCUGACUACGAUUGAUUUGAACAUCUGAACGAAAAAUCAUUCAAAUUGUUUAUCAGGAGGCUGCAGGUUCGAGUCCUGCGUCGGUCA
Molecule: non-coding RNA, 113 nt
Organism: Sodiomyces alkalinus F11
Lineage: Eukaryota; Fungi; Ascomycota; Sordariomycetes; Glomerellales; Plectosphaerellaceae
Source: the annotation of a RefSeq genome assembly